This 253-nucleotide ribosomal RNA is filed under the name uncultured bacterium. RNAcentral's name for it is "partial 16S ribosomal RNA". It matches the Rfam family "Bacterial small subunit ribosomal RNA", at positions 524 to 776 of the family's 1533-position model. The record is from RNAcentral.
UACAGAGGUCUCAAGCGUUGUUCGGAUUCAUUGGGCGUAAAGGGUGCGUAGGUGGCGCGGUAAGUCGGGUGUGAAAUCUCGGAGCUUAACUCCGAAACUGCAUUCGAUACUGCCGUGCUUGAGGACUGGAGAGGAGACUGGAAUUUACGGUGUAGCGGUGAAAUGCGUAGAUAUCGUAAGGAAGACCAGUGGCGAAGGCGGGUCUCUGGACAGUUCCUGACGCUGAGGCACGAAGGUCAGGGGAGCAAACGGG